GAUGAACGCGGGCGGCGUGCCUAAUACAUGCAAGUCGAGCGAACAGACGAGGAGCUUGCUCCUCUGACGUUAGCGGCGGACGGGUGAGUAACACGUGGAUAACCUACCUAUAAGACUGGGAUAACUUCGGGAAACCGGAGCUAAUACCGGAUAAUAUAUUGAACCGCAUGGUUCAAUAGUGAAAGACGGUUUUGCUGUCACUUAUAGAUGGAUCCGCGCCGCAUUAGCUAGUUGGUAAGGUAACGGCUUACCAAGGCGACGAUGCGUAGCCGACCUGAGAGGGUGAUCGGCCACACUGGAACUGAGACACGGUCCAGACUCCUACGGGAGGCAGCAGUAGGGAAUCUUCCGCAAAGGGCGAAAGCCUGACGGAGCAACGCCGCGUGAGUGAUGAAGGUCUUCGGAUCGUAAAACUCUGUUAUUAGGGAAGAACAAAUGUGUAAGUAACUAUGCACGUCUUGACGGUACCUAAUCAGAAAGCCACGGCUAACUACGUG
This 497-nucleotide ribosomal RNA is filed under the name uncultured bacterium. RNAcentral describes it as "partial 16S ribosomal RNA". It matches the Rfam family "Bacterial small subunit ribosomal RNA", at positions 28 to 507 of the family's 1533-position model. The record is from RNAcentral.